This 463-nucleotide ribosomal RNA is filed under the name uncultured bacterium. Its description in RNAcentral is "partial 16S ribosomal RNA". It matches the Rfam family "Bacterial small subunit ribosomal RNA", at positions 28 to 507 of the family's 1533-position model. The record is from RNAcentral.
GACGAACGCUGGCGGCGUGCUUAACACAUGCAAGUCGAGCGGUAAGUCCCUUCGGGGUACACGAACGGCAAACAGGUGGGUAACACGUGGGUAAUCUAACCAUCACUUCACGAUAACUGCGGGAAAGCGGUACUAAUACCGAAUAUAACCACUACAGGCAUCUGAUGAUUGUGGCAAGUUCCUGCGGUGAUGGAUGAGCUUGCGGCCUAACAGCUUGUAGGUGGGGUAUAGGCGUACCAAGGCGUGGACGGGUAGCCGGCCUGAGAGGGUGACCGGCCACACUGGGACUGAGACACGGCCCAGACUGCUACGGGAGGCAGCAGUGGGGAAUAGUGGACAAUGGGCGAAAGCCUGAUCCAGCAACGCCGCGUGAGGGAUGACGGUCUUCGGGGUGUAAACCUCGUUCAGCAGGGACGAAGCGCAAGUGACGGUACCUGCAGAAGAAGCACCGGCCAACUACGUG